AUUGAACGCUGGCGGCAGGCCUAACACAUGCAAGUCGAGCGGCAGCACGGGUACUUGUACCUGGUGGCGAGCGGCGGACGGGUGAGUAAUGCCUAGGAAUCUGCCUGGUAGUGGGGGAUAACGCUCGGAAACGGACGCUAAUACCGCAUACGUCCUACGGGAGAAAGCAGGGGACCUUCGGCCGUUGCGCUAUCAGAUGAGCCUAGGUCGGAUUAG
Molecule: ribosomal RNA, 216 nt
Filed under: uncultured bacterium
Lineage: Bacteria
Description: partial 16S ribosomal RNA
Rfam family: Bacterial small subunit ribosomal RNA
Source: RNAcentral